RNA transcript from Bubalus bubalis (water buffalo), 1705 nucleotides. It is a transcript of the gene named RAD51 paralog B, with no coding region annotated. Lineage: Eukaryota; Metazoa; Chordata; Mammalia; Artiodactyla; Bovidae. The record is from RefSeq and is a predicted model, not a curated record. The transcript is spliced from 12 exons.
CAUGUUUGAACCGAGUCAGGGUUCUUUUUCUUGCUGCAUCUGGAGGCAUGGGUAGCAAGAAACUAAGACGAGUGGGUUUAUCGCAAGAGCUGUGUGACCGUCUGAACAGACAUCAGAUCCUUACCUGUCAGGACUUUCUAUGUCUUUCCCCACUGGAGCUUAUGAAGAUGACUGGCCUUAGUUAUCAAGGUGUCCAUGAACUUCUGUGUCUGGUUAGCAGGGCCUGUGCACCACAGAUGCAAACGGCUUAUGAGAUAAAGACACAGAGGUGUGCUGCUCACUCAUCAGCAUUUUUGUCUACAACCCUGUCUGCUUUGGAUGAAGCCCUGCAUGGUGGUGUAGCUUGUGGAUCCCUCACAGAGAUUACAGGUCCCCCAGGUUGUGGAAAAACUCAGUUUUGUAUCAUGAUGAGCAUUUUGGCUACAUUACCUACCAACAUGGGAGGAUUAGAAGGAUCUGUUGUGUACAUUGACACCGAGUCAGCAUUUAGUGCUGAAAGACUAGUUGAGAUAGCAGAAUCUCGUUUUCCCAGAUAUUUUGACACUGAAGAAAAAUUACUUUUGACAAGCAGUAAAGUUCAUCUUUAUCGGGAACUUAGCUGUGAUGAAGUUCUACAAAGGAUUGAAUCCUUGGAAGAAGAAAUUAUUUCCAAAGGAGUUAAACUUGUGAUUAUUGACUCUGUUGCUUCUGUGGUAAGAAAGGAGUUUGAUACACAGCUUCAGGGCAACGUGAGAGAAAGGAACAAGUUCUUGGCAAGAGAAGCAGCCUCUUUGAAGUAUUUGGCUGAGGAAUUUUCAAUCCCAGUUAUCUUGACGAAUCAGAUUACAACCCAUCUGAGCGGAGCCCUAGCUUCUCAGGCAGACCUGGUGUCUCCAGCUGAUGAUUUGUCCCUGUCUGAAGGCACUUCUGGAUCUAGCUGUUUGACAGCUGCACUAGGAAACACCUGGAGUCACAGUGUGAACACCCGGCUGAUUCUCCAGUACCUUGGUUCAGAGAGAAGACAGAGCCCCUCAUGUGUGAAGUCUAACCCACUGCUCACACUCGUCCAUCGGAAGUGCUCUAACAGCUAUUGAGAAUCUGGGAGAAUAUAUGAAAGGGGACCCCAAAAUAGGAACUUUUAAGAGGAUUCUUUUUUCAGGUCACCAGAUUCUCAUUGCCAAGUCCCCUCUGGCACCCUUCACUGCCUUUGUCUACACCAUCGAGAAGGAAGGCCUGGUUCUUCAAGACCAACAGAGGCCAUAGGGACACUAUGACCUUUGUCUCGAGCUGAUGGGGGCGUGAUUUGUGAAAUGAAACAGGACCGGGCUGCUUGGAAGAAGGAAACGGAAGCCAACAUAAUGGGGAUUAAUUAGUUGAUUGCUGUUGAGAUGGUAACAGAUUUGCCCCCCCACCCCUUUACCAUUGAGCCAGCCAUCUCAGACCUAGCAGGGAAGGUGAAGAUGAAGAGGCCUUUGUUCAGGUCUCUAGAUGCUUGGGGCUGAAGGCUUUGCCGCCAUGGGAUGGCAACAGCCAUAAUAAUAAUAAUUUGCACUUAUAUAGCACCUUUCAACCAGGCACCUCAAAGCGGUUUAACCACAUUAAUUAAUUAAAGCCCACAAUCCCCCUGGGGAGAGGAGGAGGAUGACUAACAGGAUUUGUAAUUACAGGAGGGAACAUUUCCGAAUAAAGUAUUGUCCACCAAAUAAAAAGAGUAGGUGUAAAGGAA